This 2274-nucleotide ribosomal RNA is filed under the name Phocaeicola vulgatus. Its description in RNAcentral is "partial 23S ribosomal RNA". It matches the Rfam family "Bacterial large subunit ribosomal RNA", at positions 1 to 2296 of the family's 2925-position model. The record is from RNAcentral. Lineage: Bacteria; Pseudomonadati; Bacteroidota; Bacteroidia; Bacteroidales; Bacteroidaceae.
GAAAGUAAAAAAGGGCGCAUGGCGGAUGCCUUGGCUCUCGGAGGCGAUGAAGGACGUGAUAAGCUGCGAUAAGCUUUGGGGAGGUGCAAAUGACCUUUGAUCCAGAGAUUUCCGAAUGGGACAACCCAAUAUCUUGAAGAGGUAUUAUCUUACUAUGUAAGAGGCUAACGCAGGGAACUGAAACAUCUUAGUACCUGCAGGAAAAGAAAAUAAACAAUGAUUCCCCCAGUAGUGGCGAGCGAACGGGGAACAGCCCAAACCAUCCAUGUUACGGCAUGGGUGGGGUUGUAGGACUACGCCGUUGCAUGAAGACAUCAGAGAAGAACUUUCUGGAAAGAAAGACCAUAGAGCAUGACAGUUGCGUAUUCGAAUGUUGUCGAAGCAUAGUAGUAUCCUGAGUAGCGCGGAGCACGAGGAAUUCUGCGUGAAUCUGCCGGGACCAUCCGGUAAGGCUAAAUACUCCCGAGAGACCGAUAGCGAACCAGUACCGUGAGGGAAAGGUGAAAAGCACUUCGAACAGAAGAGUGAAAUAGUUCCUGAAACCGUGCGCCUACAAGCGGUCGGAGCUCGUUAAUGAGUGACGGCGUGCCUUUUGCAUAAUGAACCUACGAGUUGCCUUUGCCGGCAAGGUUAAGUGUGACGACACACGUAUCCGAAGCGAAAGCGAGUCUGAAUAGGGCGUAUAGUCGGCAGUGGCAGACGCGAAACCAAGUGAUCUACCCUUGGCCAGGUUGAAGGCUGGGUAACACCAGCUGGAGGACCGCACCAAUAAGCGUUGAAAAGCUUCUGGAUGAGCUGAGGGUAGGGGUGAAAGGCUAAUCAAACUUGGAGAUAGCUCGUACUCCCCGAAAUGCAUUUAGGUGCAGCCUUGCGGGUUACUGAUGUGAGGUAGAGCGACUGAUAAGAUGCGAGGGCUUCACCGCCUAUCAAGUCUUGACAAACUCCGAAUGCGCAUCAGUUCUACCGCAGGAGUGAGGGCAUGGGUGCUAAGGUCCGUGCCCGAGAGGAGAAGAAUCCGGACCACCUGCUAAGGUCCCGAAAUGACAGCUAAGUUAAACUAACGAAGUCUGACUGCUAAGACAGCUAGGAUGUUGGCUUGGAAGCAGCCAUUCAUUUAAAGAGUGCGUAACAGCUCACUAGUCGAGGAGUCGGGCGUGGAUAAUAAUCGGGUAUCAAGUUGUCUACCGAAGCAGUGGGAUCAUUUAUAUGAUCGGUAGGGGAGCAUUCCAGUCAGCGUCGAAGGCGUACCGUGAGGUAUUCUGGAGCGUCUGGAAAAGCAAAUGUAGGUAUAAGUAACGAUAAAGGGGGCGGGAAACCCCCUCGCCGAAAGACUAAGGUUUCCUGAUCAACGCUAAUCGGAUCAGGGUCAGUCGGGUCCUAAGGCUCAGCCGAACGGCGAUGCCGAUGGCAGAAACGGUUAAUAUUCCGUUACUACCUUCAGGAGUGACGUGGAGACGCAGUAGUGACAGUGCCGCCAUCUGACGGAAUAGAUGGUUGAAGGGUGUAGGAGUCGAUCAUGGCAGGCAAAUCCACCAUGAGAUCCGAACCUGAUAGUAUGCCGCGUCCUUCGGGACAAGGCAAUAGUGCGCGUAAGCAUGCUGCCGAGAAAAUCCGCUAAACUUAAUCCUGCAGGUACCCGUACCGCAAACGGACACACGUAGUCGGGAUGAAUAUUCUAAGGCGCUUGAGUGAUUCACGGUUAAGGAACUAGGCAAACUGACCCUGUAACUUCGGGAUAAAGGGUCCCUACCCUUUUAUGGGAGGGCGCAGAGAAUCGGUCCAGGCAACUGUUUAACAAAAACACAGGGCUGUGCCAAAUCGAAAGAUCCAGUAUACAGCCUGACACCUGCCCGGUGCUGGAAGGUUAAGAGGAGAUGUCAUCGAUAAGAGAAGCGUUGAAUUGAAGCCCCAGUAAACGGCGGCCGUAACUAUAACGGUCCUAAGGUAGCGAAAUUCCUUGUCGGGUAAGUUCCGACCUGCACGAAUGGUGUAAUGAUCUGGACGCUGUCUCAACCGUGAGCUCAGUGAAAUUGUAGUAUCGGUGAAGAUGCCGAUUACCCGCGAUGGGACGAAAAGACCCCGUGAACCUUUACUAUAGCUUAUCAUUGAAUCUGGGCACGUGAUGUGUAGGAUAGGUCGGAGGCUUUGAAGCAGGUACGCCAGUAUUUGUGGAGCCGCUGUUGAAAUACGACCCUUUAUUUGUUUGGAUUCUAACCCGUGGUACGGGGACAUUGAUUGGUGGGUAGUUUGACUGGGGUGGUCGCCUCCAAAAGC